AGAGUUUGAUCCUGGCUCAGAACGAACGCUGGCGGCAGGCUUAACACAUGCAAGUCGAACGCACCGCAAGGUGAGUGGCAGACGGGUGAGUAACGCGUGGGAACGUGCCCUUCAGUUCGGGGAUAACCCAGGGAAACUUGGGCUAAUACCGGAUACGUGCGAGAGCAGAAAGAUUCAUCGCUGAAGGAUCGGCCCGCGCCUGAUUAGCUAGUUGGUAGGGUAAUGGCCUACCAAGGCGACGAUCAGUAGCUGGUCUGAGAGGAUGAUCAGCCACAUUGGGACUGAGACACGGCCCAAACUCCUACGGGAGGCAGCAGUGGGGAAUAUUGGACAAUGGGCGCAAGCCUGAUCCAGCAUGCCGCGUGAGUGAUGAAGGCCUUGGGGUUGUAAAGCUCUUUCGUCCGGGACGAUAAUGACGGUACCGGAAGAAGAAGCCCCGGCUAACUUCGUGCCAGCAGCCGCGGUAAUACGAAGGGGGCUAGCGUUGUUCGGAAUCACUGGGCGUAAAGGGCGCGUAGGCGGCCUGAUAAGUCGGGGGUGAAAGCCUGUGGCUCAACCACAGAAUUGCCUUCGAUACUGUCGGGCUUGAGACCGGAAGAGGUAAGUGGAACUGCGAGUGUAGAGGUGAAAUUCGUAGAUAUUCGCAAGAACACCAGUGGCGAAGGCGGCUUACUGGUCCGGUUCUGACGCUGAGGCGCGAAAGCGUGGGGAGCAAACAGGAUUAGAUACCCUAGUAGUCC
RNAcentral lists this ribosomal RNA (740 nucleotides) under uncultured bacterium. Its description in RNAcentral is "bacterial SSU rRNA". It matches the Rfam family "Bacterial small subunit ribosomal RNA", at positions 8 to 796 of the family's 1533-position model. The record is from RNAcentral.